RNAcentral lists this unclassified non-coding RNA (240 nucleotides) under soil metagenome. Its description in RNAcentral is "partial contains 5.8S ribosomal RNA, internal transcribed spacer 2, and large subunit ribosomal RNA". The record is from RNAcentral.
AACCAUUCUCACCUGCGGCUAGACCUGCGGAGGGAUCAUUACUGAGUCACGUGCUCAAACAACCCUUCUGUGGACCUGAAAUAAAACCGUUGCCUCGGCGGGCGGUCCCCCCCAAACCAACCCCACGUGGUGGGUUAGGGGAGACCAGACAGUCCGGUACGCUUAAGGCGUCCGGCGCCAGCCGCUGGCCCCAAACAAUUAAACUCUAGUAAUCUUCACCUUCUGAAUUUCAAUAUUUAA